Molecule: long non-coding RNA, 761 nt
Organism: Poeciliopsis prolifica (blackstripe livebearer)
Lineage: Eukaryota; Metazoa; Chordata; Actinopteri; Cyprinodontiformes; Poeciliidae
Exons: 3
Source: RefSeq, a predicted model, not a curated record
UAUCUCCUCUCUACAUCCACCGAUCUGCACCAGAUCUUUUGUGCAGAUCCAUCAGUAUCGCCUGAUGGACGGGCGCGGAAACUGCGCGAGACCUUCUGCGUUGACUAACGUGCGGGCCUCAAUCAUCAGUAACAGUGUUAUUACCACAAAUCAACCUAUUAGUGAAAUGAAAUACUCACAAUAAAGCAUUUUAUUUAACCCGUGACUAAUUCCUGUCUAGAUCAGGAAGUUAAUAAAGUAAACAGGAGCCGAGCGACACGGUGGUGGAGAACCCGGGAAACUGCGGUGGUUCAUCGGUUAGAAAGGCUCCAGAGAGCCGAGAGAAACACGGAGAAACACGGAGAGACACGGAGAAACACGGAGAAACACGGAGAAACACGGAGCGGCAACACUUACUGUUAUUAACUCGCUUCUCUUCUGACCGUACAGGUGAGUGCUUCUCUGAUUGGCCUGUAGGUGGCGGUAAUGCACCUGAAGUUGGUUUGCAGCCGCCACUGACACCCUGUAGAAGAAGAAGGAGAACGUCAACACCGGUUCUGUAUUUCAUUUAAAACCGACCUGCUUUGCUCGUUCAGAAUCUCAGGAUGAGAACUGAAGACGAUCUGCCACCGUUUCCCCGCCCCUCCUGGUCUUGAUCCUGAUCCUGGUUCUGAUCCUGGUUCUGUUUCUUCGUCGCUCCUGGUGGUUCUGUUCGGCCCGUUUGCGCUCCGCGUCCUCAUCAUGGUGGGCUUUGUUUAGUCCAGCUCUCUGCAGCUUUUCCA